This 484-nucleotide ribosomal RNA is filed under the name uncultured bacterium. Its description in RNAcentral is "partial 16S ribosomal RNA". It matches the Rfam family "Bacterial small subunit ribosomal RNA", at positions 30 to 507 of the family's 1533-position model. The record is from RNAcentral.
AUUGAACGCUGGCGGCAGGCCUAACACAUGCAAGUCGAGCGGACGAAGGGAGCUCGCUCCUGGAUUCAGCGGCGGACGGGUGAGUAAUGCCUAGGAAUCUGCCUGGUAGUGGGGGAUAACGUCCGGAAACGGGCGCUAAUACCGUACCCGUCCUGAGGGAGAAAGUGAGGGAUCUUCGGACCUCACGCUAUCAGAUGAGCCUAGGUCGGAUUAGCUAGUUGGUGGGGUAAAGGCCUACCAAGGCGACGUUCCGUAACUGGUCUGAGAGGAUGAUCAGUCACACUGGAACUGAGACACGGUCCAGACUCCUACGGGAGGCAGCAGUAGGGAAUAUUGGGCAAUGGGCGAAAGCCUGAUCCAGCCAUGCCGCGUGUGUGAAGAAGGUCUUCGGAUUGUAAAGCUCUUUUAGUUGGGAGGAACGGCAGUAAGUGAAUACCUUGCUGUUUUGACGGUACCAACAGAAUAAGCACCGGCUAACUUCGUG